UCCCUAAUAGCCCAGUUGGUAGAGAAUCUGUCUGCAAUACAGGAGACCCCAGUUCGAUUCCUGGGUUGGGAA
Molecule: transfer RNA, 72 nt
Filed under: Ovis aries (sheep)
Lineage: Eukaryota; Metazoa; Chordata; Mammalia; Artiodactyla; Bovidae
Rfam family: tRNA
About the family: Transfer RNA (tRNA) molecules are approximately 80 nucleotides in length. Their secondary structure includes four short double-helical elements and three loops (D, anti-codon, and T loops). Further hydrogen bonds mediate the characteristic L-shaped molecular structure. tRNAs have two regions of fundamental functional importance: the anti-codon, which is responsible for specific mRNA codon recognition, and the 3' end, to which the tRNAs corresponding amino acid is attached (by aminoacyl-tRNA synthetases). tRNAs cope with the degeneracy of the genetic code in two manners: having more than one tRNA (with a specific anti-codon) for a particular amino acid; and 'wobble' base-pairing, i.e. permitting non-standard base-pairing at the 3rd anti-codon position.
Source: Rfam by way of RNAcentral